Long non-coding RNA from Aedes aegypti (yellow fever mosquito), 321 nucleotides. RefSeq lists it as uncharacterized. NCBI's taxonomy places the organism in Eukaryota, Metazoa, Arthropoda, Insecta, Diptera, Culicidae. The record is from RefSeq and is a predicted model, not a curated record. The transcript has 2 exons.
AAUGCUAUGGGAUUUGCACAUGUGAAAAUCUAGUCAUUGCAGCAUUUUGGUGAUGGCGAGAUUAACCCUAAAAAAAUCAUCGUGGUGGAUUUGGAAGUAAAUUAUAUCUGAAAGCGAUGUGGAUCAUAGAAUUAUGGUUGGGAUUGAUAAAUAGUAAAUAAAGGAAAACAUCAAUUUUAUUGCAAGCUGAAGCCAAUGGAGCCAGACCACGAAAAAUAAUUGAUUAUUCAGAGCUCAAUGAAACGGAUAUCCAAUGUUAUUUAAACAUAGCUUAUUCAUACAAAUGGCAAUAAUGUAUAAAAUAAACAGUUUUUAAACUAC